GAACUCGUAGCUCAGCUGGUUAGAGCACUUCUUUGACGUAGAAGGGGUCACUGGUUCGAAUCCAGUCGAGUUCA
This 74-nucleotide transfer RNA is filed under the name Candidatus Daviesbacteria bacterium RIFCSPHIGHO2_01_FULL_36_37. RNAcentral describes it as "tRNA-Val". It matches the Rfam family "tRNA". Rfam says of the family: Transfer RNA (tRNA) molecules are approximately 80 nucleotides in length. Their secondary structure includes four short double-helical elements and three loops (D, anti-codon, and T loops). Lineage: Bacteria; Candidatus Daviesiibacteriota. The record is from RNAcentral. RNAcentral also lists the same sequence under 1 other name.